RNAcentral lists this ribosomal RNA (276 nucleotides) under uncultured Thalassiosira. RNAcentral's name for it is "partial Bacterial large subunit ribosomal RNA". It matches the Rfam family "Bacterial large subunit ribosomal RNA", at positions 1590 to 1845 of the family's 2925-position model. The record is from RNAcentral. Lineage: Eukaryota; Bacillariophyta; Thalassiosirophyceae; Thalassiosirales; Thalassiosiraceae.
UGUGGUGAUCCUAUGCUGCCGAGAAAAGCCUCGACGUGAGGGCAUGACGCGCCCGUACCCUAAACCGACUCAGGUGGUCAGGUAGAGUAUACCGAGGCGUUCGAGUGAAUCGUGGUUAAGGAACUCGGCAAAAUUCCUCCGUAACUUCGGGAUAAGGAGGACCCCGUGACUUCCCCGCGCCAUUGCGCGCGGUGUGGGGUUGUGGGGUCGCAGAGAAUAGGGAGAAGCGACUGUUUAUCAAAAACACAGGACUCUGCUAAAUCGAAAGAUGCUGUA